RNAcentral lists this ribosomal RNA (301 nucleotides) under uncultured bacterium. RNAcentral's name for it is "partial 16S ribosomal RNA". It matches the Rfam family "Bacterial small subunit ribosomal RNA", at positions 509 to 807 of the family's 1533-position model. The record is from RNAcentral.
CAGUAGCCACGGUAAAACGUAGGUGGCAAGCGUUGUCCGGAAUUAUUGGGCGUAAAGGGCUCGCAGGCGGUUUCUUAAGUCUGAUGUGAAAGCCCCCGGCUCAACCGGGGAGGGUCAUUGGAAACUGGGAAACUUGAGUGCAGAAGAGGAGAGUGGAAUUCCACGUGUAGCGGUGAAAUGCGUAGAGAUGUGGAGGAACACCAGUGGCGAAGGCGACUCUCUGGUCUGUAACUGACGCUGAGGAGCGAAAGCGUGGGGAGCGAACAGGAUUAGAUACCCGGGUAGUCCCUGUCUCUUAUAC